This is a long non-coding RNA of Gallus gallus (chicken), 4196 nucleotides long. RefSeq lists it as uncharacterized. The record is from RefSeq and is a predicted model, not a curated record. Lineage: Eukaryota; Metazoa; Chordata; Aves; Galliformes; Phasianidae. The transcript has 2 exons.
CUACAGUUUUAAAAACAUACUGAAACUACCCCAGCCUCUUUGCCUACAGCUUCCUGCCAGGGCAGCCAAGUUCCCAUAGAGUGUUCAGGUGUGAAUCUAAGGACAACAGGACAAAGGAGAUUAAACCCUCCUUUCUCAGUCUUGUAUCUAUUGAUCAUUGCAGACAAUUAAAUAAUUGCUGGUAAACUAGAGUGUCCUUUGAGAAUGUUAUUAGACUUUGUUUCUGUGUCAUUGGUUUUUGUUCUUUUUAAAGUAGAUAAUUUUAAAUUUUAGCAUGUUUUCCAUUUUGGAAUUGCCAAUGUAGGGUAUUUGGUAGACAGUCUUCCUAAUACUUCUGACACAAAAAUUAUAACCUCGGCAUCUAGGCACAUACAGUUAUCUGGCAUUAUAUUACUUUAAAGAGUCAUAGCAUCUGGUGAUAUCAGCUCUUCCAGCUGAGCCAGCCAAGGAAGUAAAGUCCUGUGAAUACAGAACAGGUAUAUUGAAUUUCUUUUUAUUAUUUUUUAUCUUUAUUUUUUGGAAAGACUGAGUGAACAUGACAGUAGUUUGAGUUGUUGGGCUAUUAAUGUGUGCCUUGAUACAAACUUUUGAUGUCGUAGGUAAUCUGAGUGACUCAUUCUCCUGACUAAAAUGGGCUAAUAACACAUCCUAAUGUUACUUGGUGUGGGACAAAGAAAUAUAGUGAGUACCAUGACCAAUUAGAAUGUGAGGAUACCAGGACAGUGCAGAAACUUAGAAUAACUUUCCUGGGAACUAAGCUGUUUCAUUGGGAGGCCAAAGAUGGGUGAUAAAAAUGAAUUCUUCACGAUUAACUUUGUAAACCAUCCUUUUCCUAGUAAGUAUUACUAAUGAAUAUGUGUCAACACCCCCCUGAACUAUUCACUGUGGUAACUAUUAAUGUAUUCAUGAAUAUUUCUGGUAGAUAGCAGUAUUCAUGAAGGAGCCUUUGUAUUACAUAAUAAAAUAUUAUUGCAUAAUAAAAAUAUUGUAUUGCAUAAUAAAAAUAUUUCUGUUACUAUUUUCAGUUCUUCUAUUUUAGUAAUUCAAGUAAGUUUGUUUUGUUCAGGGAAGUUAUGUGUAGAAGAGGGAAAGCAGAUCAGUUUGUAUAGCUCUUUCUUUCUACGGUUUAUUAAGGCAUAAAACUCCUACCUCAGCAGUACUGAAACACCAAAUUCUUUUUGCUUUUGUUUUCUUACCGCUUCUCAGUGGGGAAAUACAGGCACUGAGGCCAGUAUGAGGGCUUAGUAGUGAGGGGACUAAUCUCACUGGCAGGUUUAUAUGUUAUGCUAAAAUAUCACGCACUGGGAAGCAUCAAGCUUUUGGGGUAGAUCUCUUUUCCUGUCCUAUCCACUUUUUCUUCUACUUCAGAUCUCUGUUAAAAGAACAAAUCAUUUGUGUAUACAGAGAUAAAUCUAGACCAAACUUUUUGAAAUACGUGUCAUGGAGUCAAUUGCGUGAUGUUUAGCCUUUGCUAGUAAGUCAUCGUUUUAGAUAAAUUAGCAGAUGAUGUCCUACUCAGUUUUCCAUAGUUUCAGACUGUCAGUGUUCUUACACAAAUUGAAUACGUGCAUACUCUGGGUAUUUGUGAUGUGUUCUAACAGCUGUUGAAAGACAAGUUUUAGCCUUAAUCUUUUUUUGUUUGGCAUUUUCACAGUAAAAACAAGUUAGAACUAUUCUUCAUUUCAAUCUUAUCCUUAGGACUUUAUCUUGUUUGGAAGGUUAGUACAAAAUUCUGACAUUCAUGAGCACAAGAGCAGCAUAGUCUAUCUUCUGAUACGCAAUUAGAAUUAUUACUUCAAAUAAUUUUGGGGUCCUGGAAAUUCAGAAGCAUACUUUCCUUGAGCAUGCAAUAUUCAACUUCCUCAAAAUAGUUAAAUUUCUGGCCAUUAUAUUGAUUCAUUUGAUUUGCUGUGGUUCAAUUCCUACCCAAAAUUCAGUUUCUCUCAGACACCCUUGAAACUUGAAUGAGCUGGUAUCUCUGAUUUUAAUCCUUUAUUUCAAGGGGAGUUGUUCUUAUGGACAAUAUUUCUCUAUCUUCAAAGAUGUAGGUGACAUCAGUUGCAGUAUGUUAGAGAGGAACUUGGCAAAUCUCUUCAAUAUUACGUGUCCUCAGAGUAGUUCAGCGUUCUGCAGCUGUAGAUCUUCAGGAAUUGAGACAUUUCUGCCCCAGACCUGGAAAGAUACUGCGUUUAUAGUAAGUACCUAAAGAAUGAAUGUGAAGGAUUUAGUUUACUGUAGUUCACAGCAACACGGUUAUCAAACAGCUAUCUUUAAAGUGGCAAGGCUCUUAAAAACUCUCAGAUCUUUUUGUAAGAUCUCCUGAACCCAGCUAGAAUAGCUAGGAAGAAUUUGAAUAAUAAAAAUUCCUCCUUUGCGAUACCUACAUAUGUAAGUGCUGCAUGCAAAAUUUAAGAUUUAUAUAUAUAAAUCUGAGGGCUUUACAAAAUCGUAUUAAGUAUUCUUGCCAUUUCAUGCAGAGAGAAAUUGCACUGUCAGAAGUUGCAAUUACUUUUGAAAGACGAACCAUCUAAAUGGGCAGAGUUAGAAGCCAUUGCUGUUGUAAUGCAAGUGUAAUGUAUCAGUUCAGACUGUUCUCACUGCUUUUGGAAUGCCUUGUGCCUCUUGAUACUCUGUGUGUGUACGUAUAUUUGCUUUGCAUUUCUUCUUGAAGUCCUCAUAAGUAAACAGUAUUUGUCCAGGCUUCCUUGUGCUCUUUCACUCUGUCUGACAGUGACGCACUAUGGGCCUGCCCACUCACCCUCCAGGAUUUAAUUUAACUUUUCAUGGGCUCUUGGUUUUUGCUCACCUUCCCUGUUGGAAGCAUGUGAGAGGUUUUCUUUCUCAAAGAGUUUUUAAUGCUCUGAUUGUGUGACCUACUCCUGGAAAUUGCUUGCUCCUUAUUAGCAGAUGUCCGAAGCCACUGCCAUUGGCAUCCUAGGCUUGUAAUGAAAGCAGAUUGCUGCCAUGCAAAGGGAACAGAGAGAGAAAUGGAAAAUUCCUCUCGGUGCCUCCCCUGGAAAGGCAGCCUUCUCAUAAUGAAUCACCAAGAGAAGUCUUCAUGAUGAUGGAUGGGGACCAGUGGGGGUGGCAGGAGAGAAUUGAAGGCAACAGGGAGUUAUUCUCUAAUUACUCUUUUCUGACAAGGUACAAUAACAGACACACAGGGCUGUGUGUCAAACUACUGCCUCUUGCACUGUGCUCGUUACAGAAGCACCAGUAUCCCUCAUGGGCUGGGGCUGCUCUUGGGUUAUCACACCCUGAGUGUGGCGUUUACUGUCACCUCCCAUUGUGGCAAUGACAAGAUGGCUGGGUUUUUUGUUUUGUUUUUUGUUGUUGUUGUUGUUGUUGUUUUUUGUGAAGGAAAAAAAGAACACAUACAGUGAAAGAAGCCAAGCAGCCUUGCUGUGUGUGCUACAUGUAAAAGUUGCACAAUGAGCAGUCACAGUAGCUAAUAAUCUGAGUAUAUGGAUGUUAGGAACCUAAUGUACUGAACUUGAAGAUUUCCAUUGUUUCUGGUGGUUAUAUGAUAAAUUCCCCAAAAAAAAAAUUAAAAAGUUCUUCCAUUUCUUCUCACUUAAUUGAUGCUUCUUGCUAAUCUGUUUCAUCUGUUCUAUGUGAUACCCUUCCAUAUGAAUGAAUCCUGUUAAGCUUGCAGUAGAACAGACUUCAUGUGCUCAUCAAACUUGCUGAGAGUUCUGAGUACUUAUGGCUGAAUAAAUAUUGCAUUCUGGUGAUGACAGACUGAUCACCAUGGUGCUGCCUUACAGAAAUGAACUUUACUGUUUUGGCAAAUGGAAAUUUUCCUGUUGCUGAGUCCCCUUUGCCUUUGGGUCUAGGUGCAAACAUAAAUAUGUGCAUAAAUGUGCAUUAAUAGUGUGUUUUGCAUUCUUGUACAUUAUGUGCGUAUAUGAGAGUGCAUCCAAGGAGGAAAAAGAGAUAUCUAAAUGCAGAAGGAGAAUUGAUAGUCCAGGCAAACAGGCUUUUUGCCUGUUAUGAGAAGCCAGGGCCAUUGUACAUCUGUUCAGUUGCUGUGAUGUUCUUUUUGUCGUGUUGCAAAGCCUCACUUGUUGGAUGUGUAAUAUCCUCAUAUAUUGUUAUAGCAAUGAUUUAUUGCUGUUUUGUGCAAAACCAUGCUGGCUUUCUGUGAGCUGCUUGGUACGAGCGAGGUUAAGUAAAGUUUUCUUUGUGCAACAUCA